CCCUCAGAUGUUCUGGGCUGCACGCGUGCUACACUGAAGUGUCAUAGCGAGUUACCUAUCUUUAACGGGAAGGGUAAUCUUGAAUGCACUUCGUGAUGGGGAUAGAUCAUUGCAAUUAUUGAUCUUCAACGAGGAAUUCCUAGUAAGCGCAAGUCAUCAGCUUGCGCUGAUUACGUCCCUGCCCUUUGUACACACCGCCCGUCGCACCUACCGAUUGAAUGGUCCGGUGAAAUCUCGGGACGGCGGCUUGGUCGCUUGCGUCCGACUGCUGAAACUUGAUUAAACCAUAUCAUUUAGAGGAAGGUGAAGUCGUAACA
Molecule: ribosomal RNA, 317 nt
Filed under: uncultured eukaryote
Lineage: Eukaryota
Description: partial 18S ribosomal RNA
Rfam family: Eukaryotic small subunit ribosomal RNA
Source: RNAcentral